CUACGGGUCGCUGCAGUGGGGAAUAUUGGACAAUGGGCGAAAGCCUGAUCCAGCAAUACCAUGUGUGUGAUGAAGGCCCUCGGGUUGUAAAGCACUGUCAGGAGGAACGAAAAAGUCUGUGUAACGACAGACCUUGACGGUACCUCCAAAGGAAGCACCGGCUAACUCCGUGCCAGCAGCCGCGGUAAUACGGAGAGUGCAAGCGUUGUUCGGAAUCACUGGGCGUAAAGCGCGCGUAGGCGGCACGAUCAGUCAGAUGUGAAAUCCCUCGGCUCAACCGAGGACGUGCAUCUGAUACUGUCGAGCUAGAGUAUCGGAGGGGAUGGUGGAAUUCCUGGUGUAGAGGUGAAAUUCGUAGAUAUCAGGAGGAACCCCUGUGGCGAAGGCGACCAUCUGGACGAUAACUGACGCUGAGGUGCGAAAGCGUGGGUAGCAAACAGGAUUAGAUACCCGAGUAGUC
RNAcentral lists this ribosomal RNA (460 nucleotides) under uncultured bacterium. RNAcentral's name for it is "partial 16S ribosomal RNA". It matches the Rfam family "Bacterial small subunit ribosomal RNA", at positions 339 to 795 of the family's 1533-position model. The record is from RNAcentral.